AAAUGAUGAUUCUGCUGCUGCUGCUGCUGCUGCUGCUGCUGCUGAUUCAUCAUCAUCAUCAUCAUCAUCAUCAUCAUGGCAA
Molecule: microRNA precursor, 82 nt
Filed under: Guillardia theta CCMP2712
Lineage: Eukaryota; Cryptophyceae; Pyrenomonadales; Geminigeraceae
Description: microRNA mir-598
Source: RNAcentral